RNAcentral lists this ribosomal RNA (107 nucleotides) under Stappia taiwanensis. Lineage: Bacteria; Pseudomonadati; Pseudomonadota; Alphaproteobacteria; Hyphomicrobiales; Stappiaceae. The record is from RNAcentral.
CAUUGCGGGGACCGCAACACCCGAUCCCAUCCCGAACUCGGCCGUGAAACGCCCCAGCGCCAAUGGUACUGCGUCUCAAGACGUGGGAGAGUAGGUCGCCGCCAGGC